AUUCUUGUAGCUUAUGUUUAAAGCAUGGUUUUGAAGCAGCCAGGAAGGUAUCUUGCCCAAGAGUG
Molecule: transfer RNA, 65 nt
Filed under: Atelura formicaria
Lineage: Eukaryota; Metazoa; Arthropoda; Insecta; Zygentoma; Nicoletiidae
Description: tRNA-Phe
Source: RNAcentral